Molecule: ribosomal RNA, 253 nt
Filed under: uncultured bacterium
Lineage: Bacteria
Description: partial 16S ribosomal RNA
Rfam family: Bacterial small subunit ribosomal RNA
Source: RNAcentral
GACGGAGGAUGCAAGUGUUAUCCGGAAUCACUGGGCGUAAAGCGUCUGUAGGUGGUUUAAAAAGUCCACUGUUAAAGAUUGAAGCUUAACUUCAAAAAUGCCGUGGAAACUUUUAAACUUGAGUAUGAUAGGGGUAGAGGGAAUUUCCAGUGGAGCGGUGAAAUGCGUAGAUAUCAGGAGGAACACCGGUGGCGAAGGCGGGUCUCUGGGCCGAUACUGACGCUGAGGAGCGAAAGCGUGGGGAGCGAACAGG